RNAcentral lists this unclassified non-coding RNA (257 nucleotides) under Hevea brasiliensis (rubber tree). The record is from RNAcentral. Lineage: Eukaryota; Viridiplantae; Streptophyta; Magnoliopsida; Malpighiales; Euphorbiaceae.
GGUGAGGAGGAAUUCAGGUUUGGGAAUAAACCCAACGGGCUGCACCCGGGGCCUGACAAUCGCGGUGAAUUUUUGGCGGGGACAAGCAGUCCUUUUAGGAGAAAUCUAGGUGAUGAAUCCAGAGCAGGAAAAUAUAUGAGGAUUGCAGGUGAUAGUGUAGGUGUUGUCAAUAAGCAUCUUGAAGUGGACCAGAAUAAACUAAAGAAGGCGUUUUUGCAUUUCACUAAGGUGAUUAAUGAGACUGAGGCGGAGAGAAA